RNAcentral lists this RNase P RNA (351 nucleotides) under Entomomonas moraniae. RNAcentral's name for it is "Bacterial RNase P class A". It matches the Rfam family "Bacterial RNase P class A". From Rfam's summary of the family: Ribonuclease P (RNase P) is a ubiquitous endoribonuclease, found in archaea, bacteria and eukarya as well as chloroplasts and mitochondria. Its best characterised activity is the generation of mature 5'-ends of tRNAs by cleaving the 5'-leader elements of precursor-tRNAs. Cellular RNase Ps are ribonucleoproteins. Lineage: Bacteria; Pseudomonadati; Pseudomonadota; Gammaproteobacteria; Pseudomonadales; Pseudomonadaceae. The record is from RNAcentral.
AGUCGGUUAAACAGUCGCUGCCUUUUAUACUUGUAUAAAGGGGGGAGGAAAGUCCGGGCUCCACAGGGCAAAGUGCCAGGUAACGCCUGGGAGGUGAAAGCCUACGGAAAGUGCCACAGAAAACAACCGCCUAAGUAGCUUUGGCUAACGGUAAGGGUGAAAAGGUGCGGUAAGAGCGCACCGCGCAACUGGCAACAGUUUGUGGCUAGGUAAACCCCACUUGGAGCAAGACCAAAUAGGAAUCCUACGUGCGGCCCGUACAGGAUUCGGGUAGGUUGCUAAAGAUGUCCAGUGAUGGCCAUCGUAGAUGAAUGACUGUUCGCGACAGAACCCGGCUUAUCGACCGACUCU